RNAcentral lists this ribosomal RNA (451 nucleotides) under uncultured bacterium. Its description in RNAcentral is "bacterial SSU rRNA". It matches the Rfam family "Bacterial small subunit ribosomal RNA", at positions 330 to 801 of the family's 1533-position model. The record is from RNAcentral.
UGCGAACUCCUACGGGAGGCAGCAGUGGGGAAUUUUGGACAAUGGGGGCAACCCUGAUCCAGCAAUGCCGCGUGAGUGAAGAAGGCCUUCGGGUUGUAAACCUCUGAACCAGGGACGAUAAUGACGGUACCUGGGUAAUAGCACCGGCCAACUCCGUGCCAGCAGCCGCGGUAAUACGGAGGGUGCAAGCGUUAUCCGGAAUCACUGGGCGUAAAGGGUGCGUAGGUGGUUUCUUAAGUCAGAGGUGAAAGGCUACGGCUCAACCGUAGUAAGCCUUUGAAACUGGGAAACUUGAGUGCAGGAGAGGAGAGUGGAAUUCCUAGUGUAGCGGUGAAAUGCGUAGAUAUUAGGAGGAACACCAGUUGCGAAGGCGGCUCUCUGGACUGUAACUGACACUGAGGCACGAAAGCGUGGGGAGCAAACAGGAUUAGAUACCCGUGUAGUCCAGAUG